RNAcentral lists this ribosomal RNA (253 nucleotides) under uncultured bacterium. RNAcentral describes it as "partial 16S ribosomal RNA". It matches the Rfam family "Bacterial small subunit ribosomal RNA", at positions 524 to 776 of the family's 1533-position model. The record is from RNAcentral.
UACGUAGGGUGCGAGCGUUGCCCGGAUUUAUUGGGCGUAAAGGGCGCGUAGGCGGCUCGGCACGUCCGUUGUGAAAUCGCCCGGCUCAACUGGGCGGGGUCAGCGGAUACGGUCGAGCUUGAGCAAGCUAGGGGGCAAUGGAAUUCCCGGUGUAGUGGUGGAAUGCGUAGAUAUCGGGAGGAACACCAGUGGAGAAGGCGGUUGCCUGGGGCUUUGCUGACGCUGAUGCGCGAAAGCGUGGGGAGCGAUCCGG